RNAcentral lists this non-coding RNA (21 nucleotides) under Caenorhabditis elegans. Lineage: Eukaryota; Metazoa; Nematoda; Chromadorea; Rhabditida; Rhabditidae. The record is from RNAcentral.
UUGUUCUGAUAAAAAAGCGAA